This 300-nucleotide long non-coding RNA is filed under the name Gossypium raimondii (Peruvian cotton). RNAcentral describes it as "long non-coding RNA (GRAI_LNC010185)". The record is from RNAcentral. Lineage: Eukaryota; Viridiplantae; Streptophyta; Magnoliopsida; Malvales; Malvaceae.
AAACAUACAAGCUGCAACAUGCAUACAAGUUGCAAGCUCUUCAACAAACUCAUCACAGUAUGGUUGGCCACUUUUCAACAAAUUUCACCUAACAGUCAUCAACAACAUUAAUUGUAAUGGCAUUUGGGAGUUGUGCUCUUCAUAUCACCAUUGUUGCUCAGGUACUUUGAUUUCAGUAUUAACUGCAAAAAGCCCUUCAACGGGAAGUCAUUAAUUUACAUUUUUCUUUAAUCUCAUUUUCUUUCAGAUGGAUAUGGAAUUCUGCAUGACAGUGAAGGAGCCCGUGAAGAAACUACGUUC